Molecule: unclassified non-coding RNA, 394 nt
Filed under: soil metagenome
Description: partial contains 5.8S ribosomal RNA, internal transcribed spacer 2, and large subunit ribosomal RNA
Rfam family: 5.8S ribosomal RNA (bases 1-120)
Source: RNAcentral
GAUGAAGAACGCAGCGAAAUGCGAUAACUAAUGUGAAUUGCAGAAUUCCGUGAAUCAUCGAGUCUUUGAACGCACAUUGCGCCCCCUGGCAUCCCGGGGGGCAUGCCUGUCCGAGCGUCAUUUCAACCCUCAAGCUCGGCUUGUGAGUUGGGCGACCCGUCCCCGGCAACCCCGUAAGGGGGGCAGGGGACGAGCCCGAAACGCAGCGGGGACGCCGCGACCGCAAAGCCUCAGCGAAUGGGACAUCCAGCGCUGCACGGCGGCGGGCGGACGUCGACCUCAGGGGCGACGGCGCUACAUAUCACGUGGCACCGGCCACCGUAGACCCCCAAAAGGUUGACCUCGGAUCAGGUAGGGAUACCCGCUGAACUUAAGCAUAUCAAUAAGCGGAGGA